Molecule: ribosomal RNA, 560 nt
Filed under: uncultured Chloroflexota bacterium
Lineage: Bacteria; Bacillati; Chloroflexota
Description: bacterial SSU rRNA
Rfam family: Bacterial small subunit ribosomal RNA
Source: RNAcentral
CAAGGAAUUUUCCCCAAUGGGCGCAAGCCUGAGGGAGCAACGCCGCGUGGGGGAGGACGCCCUUCGGGGUGUAAACCCCUUUUCUCGGGGACGAAGCACUGACGGUACCCGAGGAAGAAGGCCCGGCUAACUACGUGCCAGCAGCCGCGGUAAUACGUAGGGGCCGAGCGUUGUCCGGAGUUACUGGGCGUAAAGCGCGCGCAGGCGGUCUUCUAAGCCCGGCGUGAAAGCCCCCGGCUCAACCGGGGAGGGUCGUCGGGGACUGGGAGACUUGAGGACGGCAGGGGCUGGUGGAAUCCCCGGUGUAGUGGUGAAAUGCGUAGAGAUCGGGGGGAACACCCGUGGCGAAGGCGGCCAGCUGGGCCGGACCUGACGCUGAGGCGCGAAGGCGUGGGGAGCGAACGGGAUUAGAUACCCCGGUAGUCCACGCAGUAAACGAUGCCGACUGGGCGUGGGGGGACUUGACCCCCUCGUGCCGGAGCCAACGCGGGAAGUCGGCCGCCUGGGGAGUACGGCCGCAAGGCUAAAAACUCAAAAUAAAUUGACGGGGGAGAGUCUGU